UAGGGAAUCUUCGGCAAUGGACGAAAGUCUGACCGAGCAACGCCGCGUGAGUGAAGAAGGUUUUCGGAUCGUAAAACUCUGUUGUUAGAGAAGAACAAGGACGUUAGUAACUGAACGUCCCCUGACGGUAUCUAACCAGAAAGCCACGGCUAACUACGUGCCAGCAGCCGCGGUAAUACGUAGGUGGCAAGCGUUGUCCGGAUUUAUUGGGCGUAAAGCGAGCGCAGGCGGUUUCUUAAGUCUGAUGUGAAAGCCCCCGGCUCAACCGGGGAGGGUCAUUGGAAACUGGGAGACUUGAGUGCAGAAGAGGAGGGGGGAAUUCCAUGUGGAGCGGUGAAAUGCGUGGAUAUAUGGAGGAACACCAGUGGCGAAGGCGGCUCUCUGGUCUGUAACUGACGCUGAGGCUCGAAAGCGUGGGGAGCAAACAGG
Molecule: ribosomal RNA, 429 nt
Filed under: Gemmatimonadota bacterium
Lineage: Bacteria; Pseudomonadati; Gemmatimonadota
Description: Gemmatimonadetes bacterium partial 16S ribosomal RNA
Rfam family: Bacterial small subunit ribosomal RNA
Source: RNAcentral